GUCGAGAAUAAUUCACAAUGGACGAAAGUCUGAUGGUGCAACGCCGCGUGGAGGAUGAAGGUCUUCGGAUUGUAAACUCCUGUCAUCGGGGAGUAAGACCUGGCGGUAAAUAGCCGACAGGGUUGAUAGUACCCGAAGAGGAAGGGACGGCUAACUUCGUGCCAGCAGCCGCGGUAAUACGAAGGUCCCAAGCGUUGUUCGGAAUCACUGGGCGUAAAGGGAGCGUAGGCGGCGUGGUAAGUCAGAUGUGAAAUCCCGGGGCUCAACCCCGGAACUGCAUCCGGUACUGCCAUGCUUGAGGGUUGGAGAGGUAGCUGGAAUUCUCGGUGUAGCAGUGAAAUGCGUGGAUAUCGAGAGGAACACUCGUGGCGAAGGCGAGCUACUGGACAACAUCUGACGCUGAGGCUCGAAGGCCAGGGGAGCAAAAGGGAUUAGAAACCCUAGUAGUCC
This 450-nucleotide ribosomal RNA is filed under the name uncultured bacterium. RNAcentral describes it as "partial 16S ribosomal RNA". It matches the Rfam family "Bacterial small subunit ribosomal RNA", at positions 354 to 796 of the family's 1533-position model. The record is from RNAcentral.